Peromyscus californicus insignis is the source of this 3610-nucleotide long non-coding RNA. RefSeq lists it as uncharacterized. The transcript is spliced from 5 exons. NCBI's taxonomy places the organism in Eukaryota, Metazoa, Chordata, Mammalia, Rodentia, Cricetidae. The record is from RefSeq and is a predicted model, not a curated record.
CCCAGUCAGACACUGGAGAUUGGUCCCUUGCCCAGUGGCUCUGAGCUUGGCACUCAGCAGAUGUUCAGGUGCCUUUGUUAAUUGAAUUCAGUCCAUGCUACACCCAGUUUGUGGCAGAUCUGGGUCUCUAAGAUCUAGUCUCUAGACCACUGAACUCGGCUUCUCUUUCUGUUUCAUCUUGCUGCUAGCAUAAUCAUACCCUCCUGGAAGGAUGCUUUGGCACUCUUGGAAGUUCUCUGGGUGAAUGUUGCUAUGAUACGUCUUGCAGAGAGCUGACUGCUCAGAAGUGAGGGCAAGUGCUAUUUAAGUUGGGCAGCAGCAAGGUGACUCAGAUGAGGACAAUAUGAAGCAGUGUCCACUGUGUCCAUGGCAUGGUCAAGGGAUUCUGAGAGCUGAGCCCGGUGCCUGCACCUCACUGAGGGGAAGCCCUACUGUGGAGCAAGGGGCGGAGGAAGGUGCUGGGAGCAAGUUUGGUGCUGUUGCUGGACCAGCCACCCAGUGUCUCAGGCUUUACAAAACAAUGUGCUAAUGGCUACCUUGUCGGAUGAAAUGAAUUAUAGAAAGGAGAGUCUGAAUGGAUUUCCUCUCCCAUGACUCGGUUCCUUUAAUCUCUGUAGCAACCCCCAACACGUCUCAGAUGUGAAAUGCAAAACCUUGAAGGCACAGAGUGCGGCUAGUCCUAAAACUGAAACAAUUCCUCUAUUAAUACAUCAGAACAGAUCACGGCUCUCGCCUGAUGAGUAUACCCCGUCCCCGACUGCUGUGACCACUCCUGGAUCUGGAUCUCUGUCCUUCCAUCAGGAUCCCCUCUCUCCACAGUCACAGCAAUUCUUACAUCUCUUCCCAGACUCAACGUCUCUGUGAAAGCUCCCCAGUGAUCAUGCCUCGUGUGUUAGUCAACUGUCUGCCACUAUGACAAAAUGGCAGAGGUCAUCAAUCUAUAAAUAGGCAAGAUUUUGGCUUCUGGUUGGAUCCAGAGGUUUCCUGGAUGCCUGAUCAUCAUUUUGCAUCUGCAGCAGCACAAGUGAUCAUGGGGGGGAAACUUGUGAUUGGAGGCAACCUGUCCUUUUCACAUCAGCCAGGAAACAGAGACAGGAAGAAAUCAGAGCCCAGUAUCUCUUAUAAAGAUACUCCUCCAAAGACCUAACUUCUUUCUAGGACCCACUCUUAAAGCUCCCAUCUCCUCUAAAUAGCAUCAUAGCUUGAUUCCUUGUGACCAAUUCCUGUAAUGAGAAGCUAGGAUCACAGAGCAAACACUCCUUGAUGCAGACAGCCAAUGUCUGAAGCUGACAGAGUGAAAAAUGGCUGCCAUUGACUAAGCCCAUUGGGAUGGUCUAUGCAAAGACCACCCCGUUUGUGACCUUCCCCCAAAGAAGAAUAAGAAGAAUAAGAAGAAGGAGGAAGAGGAGGGAGAAGAAGGAGGAGGAGGAGGAGGAGCAGCAGAAGCCCAAUUUGUGUUGCCCAUAUACUCACUGGAGCAUGGUCAAACUUACCAUGGCCUUAAAGAAAACUGAGUCCUUCCCCAUUGUACCCCAACAGAAGCCAUCAACUGUGGGGAGCUAUACUUCAACAUCCUUACCACAUUUUAAAGAGUUCCCUAUGAUGGUUGCCUGUCUAGGCUGUUAAUUUUUGGCAUGGGGGUAGAGGUUGUCACAGAAGCCUUCUAUAAUCCUCUUUCUCAACUGUGAGUCUGCAGUCGUCGAUACGUCUGCAAAAUUACCUUAGUUGACUUUUACAGUCAGCAGGAGCACAGAUCACACAUUUCCAUAUGGUCUUUAGUGGCAGCGCUGCCCAUGAACAUCAUCAACGUGGUGGCUUCAGGUGGCAGGCAGCCCAGAGCACAGACAUCUACACGGCCUUCAGUGGUAACAUGGGCCACAGAUAGCAACAUGUCCUCUGGCGACAAUAGGAUCAUGGACCCAGAUAAGGUCCUGGGUGGCAGCAUGGAUUGUGGACAUCAACAUGGACUUAGGUGGCUACACAGGCCAUCCACAUCAACACAGUUCCAAGCUGCUGUAAAGACUACAAACAUCCACAUGAACCUCAGUCUUCAACAUGGCCUGGGGCAGUGGACCAUGGAUACCAACAUGGCUUCCAGGGCCAGCGUGGACCAUAGAGGAGGUCUAAUCCAGAAAAUGAACCAUUCUUCAUCUUAGACAUCCUGUCUGUUGCUGAGAACCAGGGUAAUCAUGUGACUGGGGAGCAUGUUCGGGAUCUGAGUCUGUGCAGGCUCUAGGCUGCGGCACACCACCCUGCCAGCCUUGCUUAGCAAGGACAUGUUCCCCUGUCUACCACAGUUGUCUCUCAGACCUGUCACUGUAGUCCCACUCACUGCUACGCUCCUCCAUUUUUCCUCCCUCUCCAUACCAUAUUUGUUUGUUGUAUUGGCAUUGGAAACCACACUGUGUCACCUAGUAUAUAUUGCCCAAAUAGCUUUACAUGCAAAUAUUCAUUGCAAUGAGUCAUUGGUCUGGUUCAAAGUUUCUGGUUUCUCAGGGACCAUAAAUACUGGACCAUUGUCCAGACUCCUCUUGGAUAUCCUGCUGUGGCUGAGAGUGAGGGUGAUGUUGUGGGGUGAUGGGGUGGCUAGGCAGGGUGACUGGGGAGGAGGGCAGGUUCUGUGCCAGCUCCUGGUUGCUGCACACCUCCCUGUCCUUUACAUCUGCCACCCUGAGGUACGCCAGGCUGGAUCUCUGUGCUUGUAGCCUGCUGGUGGCGCUGCUGCCCCACACUAUCAGUCUCCCAGCCGGAGAAGCAGCCAGGGCUGCAGUGCUGCUCCAUGGGGGUGGGGAGGUGGCUGGCGGGCCUAGGACCAGCCAUUCAGUAAUGACAUGUUUCCUCAGAAACUCCAGGCCUCUGCACACUAUCCUGUCCUCUGCAGGCAACACUACUGCACGUGCUCUCUGUCUCCAGCAGGGCAAGCAGCACAGGCUGCAGCCCCGGGCUCCGUGUUGGGGCUGGCCAGUCAGUCCUAUUCAGUAAUGACAUGUUUCCUUGGGAGCUCCAGGUCAUCUGCACUUUCAGUCUCUCAGCAGGGCAAGCAUCAUGGGCCCCAAUCAUGUGGUGGUUCUGUGCUGGGAGUUGGCCUGACUUGUUUCUGCAGGAGCUCCAGGCCACCACACAACUCUCUAUCCUUUGUGCCUGCAACCCCAUGGUCAUCAGGCGCAACCUUUGUGUUUGCAGCUUUCUGGCGGAGACUCUGUGGCUAAGGGUGUAGACCAGUCAUUCUCUGUCACAAGUGUCCCUGUUCUGCCAUCUUUCUUUCCAGUUUGGUGGGUCCACUUUUUAAAAGCACCUUCCAAUACCACUUGCCUUCCCCCGACCCCCUUAGUUGUUCCAGAACUACUGCAGGCUCUGUAGACUCCUUUUUCGCCACCUUGUCACCCUCCAGAACCUCCAUGGAUCUCCCAGACUCCUCGGAGAUCCGUGGCCAUCUUUGAUUUCUCUCACAAAGUGCUAUUGAAAACACUAGCUCAGAGCAAGUGCGUUGUUUUAUUUUUCUUUAUUGUGUAUCUACCGUGUGCCUGGUACUGUCCUACUGUUCUUGGUGCUAAAUACUCAGAAAUAAAGGAGCUGUGGUAGUAUAUUACAGGUAGUCAUGGCUUAUUAA